GUGUUGUAUGAAAGGAGAGAAGGUUAGCACUCCCCUUGACAAGGAUGGAAGAGGCCCUUGGGCCUAACAACUCAUGCAGUUAAGGCAUUGCUAUCUAUUUCGUGGCAUCUAAUCAUUGUUUCU
This 123-nucleotide non-coding RNA is filed under the name Meriones unguiculatus (Mongolian gerbil). The record is from RNAcentral. Lineage: Eukaryota; Metazoa; Chordata; Mammalia; Rodentia; Muridae.